Long non-coding RNA from Capsicum annuum, 435 nucleotides. RefSeq lists it as uncharacterized. The transcript has 2 exons. The record is from RefSeq and is a predicted model, not a curated record. Lineage: Eukaryota; Viridiplantae; Streptophyta; Magnoliopsida; Solanales; Solanaceae.
UGCAAUUGUCCUAAAACAUUCCUCCUAAGUGCUGCCGAUGGAAUUCCAAUCUCCAAUUUCUCCUACUCUGGGUUCUAUUCUAGCUAAAUCCAUGGUGGAUCUUAGAUGAGCUCAUUCUGUCAGCUUCACCACUCUCAGGUAAUAUUGGGUACUCAGAUGGACAGACUACUUCCAGUUCAAUCAGGUUUUGAGCUGAAAAUCCCUGAUUCAUUAUCAGAUGGUUGAAGAUGCUUGAACAAAUCCCUACCCCUUCUUUUUGGUAAAGAUUUUUGGUUGCUAGUGUUUUAAUUCUAGUUGUUGUUAGCACAGAUGUAAUGUCUUCUUCCAGACAUACUGUUAAAUUCUCUUUACUAUGCUCUUUAUUAUCCUCCAUAUCUGCUCUUUGAACUAUGCCUGAACUUGUUGCUUUAAUGUAAAUAUGCCUACUUCAACUGA